Molecule: ribosomal RNA, 689 nt
Filed under: uncultured bacterium
Lineage: Bacteria
Description: bacterial SSU rRNA
Rfam family: Bacterial small subunit ribosomal RNA
Source: RNAcentral
GAGUUUGAUCCUGGCUCAGGAUGAACGCUGGCGGCACGCCUAACCCAUGCAAGUCGAACGAGGUAGCAAUACCUAGUGGCGGACGGGUGAGUAACAUGUAGGAAUCUACCCCAGAGUCUCGGAUACCCGGCCGAAAGGUCGGCUAAUACGAGAUAGUCUCUACGGAGUAAAGAAUUUCGCUCUGGGAAGAGCCUGCACCCUAUCAGCUUGUUGGUGAGGUAAUAGCUUACCAAGGCAAUGACGGGUAGCUGGUCUGAGAGGAUGAUCAGCCACAAUGGCACUGAGACACGGGCCAUACAUCUACGGAUGGCAGCAGGUGGGAAUAUUGCGCAAUGGACGAAAGUCUGACGCAGCGAUGCCGCGUGAAGGAUUGAAGGUUUUCGGAUCGUAAACUUCUUUUAUAUGGGAAGAUUACGACGGUACCAUAUGAAUAAGGGCCGGCUAACUACGUGCCAGCAGCCGCGGUGAUACGUAGGGCCCAAGCGUUAUCCGGAUUUAUUGGGCGUAAAGAGUAUGUAGGCGGUUUUGUAAGUUGUUUGUUAAAUUUCUUGGCUUAACCAAGAUCCAGCAUACAAUACUGCAAAACUGGAGUAUAGCAGGGGCAAGUGGAAUUCCCGGUGUAGGGAUUAAAUCCGUUGAUAUCGGGAGGAACACCAAUGGCGAAGGCAGCUUGCUAGGCUAUUACUGAC